This 71-nucleotide microRNA precursor is filed under the name Gadus morhua (Atlantic cod). RNAcentral's name for it is "microRNA gmo-mir-11207 precursor". Lineage: Eukaryota; Metazoa; Chordata; Actinopteri; Gadiformes; Gadidae. The record is from miRBase by way of RNAcentral.
CUGCAAGACUGCCGCCGAAGAUUCGCCUGCAGAAGCUUCGGCGGGGGGAGUUCGGCGGCAGUCCGGCUGCU